GAUUAACGCUAGCGGCAGGCAUAAUACAUGCAAGUUGAACGGGAUUGGUUUAGCAAUAGACCAUGAGAGUAGCGCACGGGUGCGUAACACGUAUGCAACCUGCCCCUGACUGGAGAAUAGCCUCUCGAAAGAGAGAUUAAUGUUCCAUAACAUAUAGUAUAAGCAUUUAUAUUAUAUCAAAGCUCCGGCGGUCAGGGAUGGGCAUGCGGCUGAUUAGGUAGUUGGUGGGGUAAUGGCUCACCAAGCCGACGAUCAGUA
This 258-nucleotide ribosomal RNA is filed under the name uncultured bacterium. RNAcentral describes it as "partial 16S ribosomal RNA". It matches the Rfam family "Bacterial small subunit ribosomal RNA", at positions 28 to 285 of the family's 1533-position model. The record is from RNAcentral.